GGUUCACGAAAGAGGGGAAAAAAAGUGUUUGAAGCUUUAUGAUGGGUCUUAUUCAAGCUCAUGUAAUCAGCUCUUGUUCAUAUCAAUGUACAUUCAGUUUCAAGCAUCCUUCACCGAUUUGGAAGAGAUCAAAUCCAAAAAAUUUAACAUGACAGUUGCAAAGCUUUAAUUGGAACAGCAUCCAGUCAGCAUCAAAGACUUGCUGCAAUUGUGAAACAAUGGCAGGUGUGUAAGUCCCGAAGCUAACACUGGCUGUCACAUAAAAGUAAUCCCACACAAGAUUGCUUGUGGCAACAUGGGCUCGAACAUCACUAACAACAUACUUUCCGUGUUGACCCUUGUAAAACCAGGAUAGAUGUUUCCUGUGCUAGUUCCAUUUGGAAAUUUGGCAGGUCCUGUCAAGUUGAAACCAGGAACCUUAUAGUACUUGAUCUCAACUUUGCCUGCACAGUCAUUGUACUUUGAAGAAGAGCAGAGAACGUUAGAGUUGAGGAGAGACUUCAAGUAUUGAUCUGCAUUGCUGAUAGAAUAUUUCCAGUAUGCUACCAAUAACUUCACUGUUGCUUGCUUAGAGAAGACUACCUGACAAUAAUAACUUUGUAAGAAUAUGAAACUUUGAUACAUGGAAGGAUACUUAUUAGAGGAGUAUACACCCUGUAGCACAUUGGCUAAUGUUAAUUUGCAAACUAAUUGUUUAUGAAAAGAAAAUAUGUAUGGCAAAAAUAUAAAGCAAUGACAGUGGAAGUUACCUCUGAUAUUGCAGAGGAAAUGGA
Molecule: long non-coding RNA, 773 nt
Organism: Quercus robur (English oak)
Lineage: Eukaryota; Viridiplantae; Streptophyta; Magnoliopsida; Fagales; Fagaceae
Exons: 2
Source: RefSeq, a predicted model, not a curated record